RNAcentral lists this ribosomal RNA (468 nucleotides) under uncultured bacterium. Its description in RNAcentral is "partial 16S ribosomal RNA". It matches the Rfam family "Bacterial small subunit ribosomal RNA", at positions 28 to 507 of the family's 1533-position model. The record is from RNAcentral.
GACGAACGCUGGCGGCGUGCUUAACACAUGCAAGUCGAACGGAAAGGCCCUGCUUUUGUGGGGUGCUCGAGUGGCGAACGGGUGAGUAACACGUGAGUAACCUGCCCUUGACUUUGGGAUAACUUCAGGAAACUGGGGCUAAUACCGGAUAGGAGCUCCUGCUGCAUGGUGGGGGUUGGAAAGUUUCGGCGGUUGGGGAUGGACUCGCGGCUUAUCAGCUUGUUGGUGGGGUAGUGGCUUACCAAGGCUUUGACGGGUAGCCGGCCUGAGAGGGUGACCGGCCACAUUGGGACUGAGAUACGGCCCAGACUCCUACGGGAGGCAGCAGUGGGGAAUAUUGCACAAUGGGCGGAAGCCUGAGGCAGCAACGCCGCGUGCGGGAUGACGGCCUUCGGGUGGUAAACCGCUUUCGCCUGUGACGAAGCGUGAGUGACGGUAAUGAGUAAAGAAGCACCGGCUAACUACGUG